This 783-nucleotide long non-coding RNA is filed under the name Gallus gallus (chicken). Its description in RNAcentral is "long non-coding RNA NONGGAT004428". The record is from RNAcentral. Lineage: Eukaryota; Metazoa; Chordata; Aves; Galliformes; Phasianidae.
UAAAAAUGUGCCUGAUCCAAAUAGGAAGCAAUAUGCAGGAUAACUUAAAGAAAAAAAGAAAAAGUGAACUCACUGUAUUGCUGGUCACUUCCAUGUGGGAAUAAACCGUUCAACAUGGAGUAGUAUAGGUACCUUUUUAAUGCUGAAAUGGGCAUGCUAAUUGUGAACUAUGCGGUCAGAAGCUCCUUCUAAAAUAUUCAGUAACUUAUUUACUGGAAUUUAACAAGCUGUGUACUUCAAAGCUUCUUUCACCUCUAAUUAAGUGCAUAAACUCUGUGAAUCGUAUUGGCAACUUGAGAUUUGGCACAGCAGCAGCAGUGCUGAAGCAGCCCCCACCGCUAGGAAAGGUACAAACACAGGCAAGUGACCUGUGAUGGGCUGAGAGACCUCGCUUACCAGGAUUUGCUCACGGUUAUGCUUCUGGCAACUGACAUUUCCAUUUUACUCAAAGCUUCUACCUUUGUGUCAUCAGACAAAGCCCCAUGAGUGGUGGCAGAGCAAACUGUAGCCUUCAUUCUCAAGUUUGAAGAGGAAAAGUUAUUUACAUGCCUAAAUCGCAGAACAUGAUGUUCAAAGGUCACUUUCUGUUACUCAUUGUUAUAAACCACUAAGUUUUCCAAAAGCUCUAUAAGGAAAAGGCACAUAGUUUGGGCAGAAACAUGUAAUUGGUUGUUUUCUUCUUUUAUUUUCUUUUCUUAUUGUAUGAUCUGAUUUUUGUACUACCAGAGGAAUGUCGAAGAUGAGAUGUUUCUGUCGUUCCGUACCAUGAACAAUUGCUUAAAG